Long non-coding RNA from Acanthochromis polyacanthus (spiny chromis), 726 nucleotides. RefSeq lists it as uncharacterized. The transcript has 3 exons. The record is from RefSeq and is a predicted model, not a curated record. NCBI's taxonomy places the organism in Eukaryota, Metazoa, Chordata, Actinopteri, Pomacentridae.
AUGCGAGAGUGAUUGUUUGUCUGUAUGGCUGAAUCCCAAACCGCCCCCUACACACUAUCCCUACACACUACCCCUCCGUUUGCGCGUUCCCGCGGAGGGUCCUCCAUAUUAAGGGCCGUCCCAAACCGCGUAGUGCGGAGGGAGAGUGGACUGUUCAGCCCUUAAAUAGCGAGUCUGCAUCGAUGCUCACUCUGGACAACUUUUUCAGGAAGUGCAACAUCGAAAUGGAGGAGGAAACAAACAUAUUGAUUACACACAAACAGUCUUAAGAAGACUGCUGAUUUGACAGCUCUCCAGAAGACAGUCACUGACACCAUUCACGAGGAGGAUAAGACUCAAAAGCUGAAAAGGCUGCUGUUCAUUGAGUGCUGUAUCAAAGCCUGUCAUCUCAAGUCUUUGCUUGAGAUGACGGUCAAGAAAAGCCAAGCGGGAGCCAGAACAUCCAGAACGACCAAAUGUGUCCAGGAAAUGAGCCACAGGUGCCGAAUUCCUGUUGUCAAGCAACUCCUGAACACCCAGCAACAUAAGAAGUGUCUUACCUGGGCUGAGUAGAGUUAAAAACUGGUCUGUUGCUAAAGUAAAUUUUCCACCUCUUUUGGAAAUCAAGGUCCCAGUGCUGAAGGAAGACUGGAGAGUUACAGGAUGAAAGUUCCUUGAAGUCCAGUGUGAAGUUUCCACAGUCAGUGAUGAUUUGGGGUGCCAUAUCUGGUAUGCAUUUGCAGUGAG